Molecule: long non-coding RNA, 444 nt
Organism: Arachis stenosperma
Lineage: Eukaryota; Viridiplantae; Streptophyta; Magnoliopsida; Fabales; Fabaceae
Exons: 3
Source: RefSeq, a predicted model, not a curated record
UUCAGAUACAGCUUGCAAGGGAAACAAGACAAGACACAGAAGAGAAAAAUCAGAAACACUUCGUACUCAGUAUAUAAAUUUUAAGGAAGUGAGGGUAACAAUUGGAACUUGGAAUGUUGCUGGAAGAACUCCAAGUGAAGAUUUUGGGAUUGAUGAAUGGCUUUCUACUCAAGAACCAACAGAUGUUUACAUUUUGGGGUUUGAAGAGGUAGUUCCAUUAAAUGCUGGAAAUGUACUAGGAGCAGAGGACAAUGCACCAAUCAGAUUUGUAUAUCUGUGACUAUUGCAUUACUCACUACCAAUAUAUAAUUCCAUGAUGAUAAAUUAAAUUGAUAAUUUUGUAUAUAAUUGUUAGUAUAUGAUUGCUGAUGUAUAUAAUGUGUAAAAUAUAUACAUGUAUGUGAAUUCAAUCCAUCAAUGCAUGAUAUUUUAUUUAGCUUCUAA